RNAcentral lists this ribosomal RNA (396 nucleotides) under uncultured bacterium. RNAcentral describes it as "partial 16S ribosomal RNA". It matches the Rfam family "Bacterial small subunit ribosomal RNA", at positions 523 to 917 of the family's 1533-position model. The record is from RNAcentral.
AUACGUAGGGGGCGAGCGUUGUCCGGAAUGAUUGGGCGUAAAGGGCGCGUAGGCGGCGCGGUAAGUCUGGAGUGAAAGUCCUGCUUUCAAGGUGGGAAUUGCUUUGGCUACUGCCGCGCUUGAGUGCAGGAGAGGUUAUCGGAAUUCCCGGUGUAGCGGUGAAAUGCGUAGAGAUCGGGAGGAACACCAGUGGGGAAGGCGGUUAACUGGACUGCACCUGAACCGGAGGGGAGAAAGUGUGGGGAGAAAACAGGUUAAGAUACCCGGGGAGCCCACGCCGUAAACGAUGAAUACUAGGUGUAGGAGGUUUCGACUCCCUCUGUGCCGCAGUUAACACAAUAAGUAUUCCGCCUGGGGAGUACGGCCGCAAGGUUGAAACUCAAAGGAAUUGACGGG